GAAAACAACAAAAAAACAACAACAACAGGGAGAUAAAGAAAGUCCUGUCUAUGUGCGUCUCCGGAGUGUGCGAGGCAUCACUUUCAGGCUUCCUCCUGUCUCACACACAGUCAGCCAAGGCAGAGGCAGAGCAGUCACAGCAACUAAAGAAAAAGCCGAGCUGAGAGCGAGCAUGUGUUAGCAGCAGUCACUGACAGUUUGGCCGCUUCCAGGGACCUGCUGCUCCGAGGGAGAGCGGCGCAGUGUGUGCGAGUGAGUGUGUACACUGGGGAAAGAGAAAGAGAGAGAGAGAAAAAGAGAGAGAGAGAGAGAGGGCGGCGUGUGUGCAGGUAUGUACACAAACAUCAAAUUACGGGUUUGCAGACUGAGAAACACACACUCUGACGCUCUUGAAGAGUCACAGCAGAAGUCCCUGGAAGGAAGCAGGAAGAGGUGGAUACGAUGCACCACUUCUCAAUGAAACCACGUCCUGCCAGCAGAUCCACAGAUGCAACGCAUGUGUGUGCGUGCGUGUGUGUGUGCAGAUCCAGUUUUUAUUAGCACGUGUGUGUGUGUGUGUGUUAGCCAGCUGUAAUUCCUCCAGGACCACAGGUAGGAGGGCUGCUGAACGCAACUUCGCAGGUUGCCUCGACGCCGCCCUCAGGAUUCCCUUCCCUCCGUCACCUUCUCGCCGCCCUCCACCCUGCCCCUCCUCAUUAGCUCUCCCCUCCCGUCCCCGCCUCCCCCCCUCGCGCUGCGUCUUCGCCGCGCUUCGUCUCCGCUCCAGGCGAAAAAUUCCCAGCUGCACUUCCCUUCCUGCUGAGUUUCCCACACAUGAAUCCCUCGCUUUUCUCCCUGUCACGCUGAUCCGCGGAGAGACACGCGCUCAGAGCAGGCAGCCCCUCUGGGUAAAAAAAAAAAGAAAAAAGUUCUUGCACAACUUUAAAUAACACCUCAAGCCCUCAUUUCUUCAGUCUCUCCCACACUGUGAAAACAUUAAAUGUGCAUAAACUGCGGUUGGCGCUUGUUGCUCGCGUCUCGUCUGAAGGGGUUAAGCAGCUUUAUAGUGGAGCAAUGAAAAUCUCACAGGGCCCGCAUCUGCGCUGUUGUUGCUGUGGUAUUUUGGAACAUCUGUCGUUUGCCGUGUAUGUGGAACUCUGGCAAAAUUGCGCACCAGUGUCUGGGAGCAGCUCUCCGGGGUGUUUUACCCACUCUGAAGAGAAAACAGGCUGAGAGGCGGCAUCGGUGGAAAUUAGUUAAAGGAACCUGCCAUUUAACCGGAUCGUAGAGGGACAUCUGUUUUGCCUCCACUCUGAGUGGGUCACUGACAUCCAUAGUUUUUUUUUAUACACAUCAAAAGCAAACACAGACACUGUUUUCUGAAAGCUUCUUUACUCGACGCAUUUGGAUCAAAACAACAAGCAGAGCCCACUGCUCAAGAGAGAGCUGCGAGUUUGGCUGAUAAUGUACAUCAGCUCGAGAUAUUUCUGGCAACACGAUGCAUUUGCCCGCCUUAUGGAUGCUUUAGGGGACAACAAGCUGUCUGGGUGAAAUGCCUCAGCUGUGUCUGUUUGUAUUUAUCCCUGACACAAACUCCAUAAAGAGCUCUGAGCUCCUCUGCCUAAACUUCCAGGCCGGUUCCCAAAAUAACCCAGUUUUGAGGCACGAGCACAAAAACACAUGCAAAAAAAGAACAAGAUGCAAAAUCAAAUAUGGAAAACAAACCUACAAAAAAUAGGGCACCGGGUUUCGUGUCACCAAUUUGUGCCAUCUAGCGGAUCUGUGCUGAUAAGCGUGUGCCGGGUGGCUUUUGUUGAGAUGAAUGGGUGCGAUGGCUUUCUUGGCUGUUUGUCUAGAUGAUUGUCUGGAUGACCCAGAUAUCUCCUAUCAAGUGUCAAAUUAUCUGCUGAUAUCAGAGCUGUAACAAGCCACUCCGCAGCUUACUUUAAAGGAGCAGUUUGCAAUUUUGGUAUGUGCUAAAAGCUUAGUUUGGUAUAGCUAAGGUGUUUUUUUGUUUGUUUUUUUGUUUUGGUGUUUUAUUUUGGCCCAUCCACUAACAUGGAGGAGGUGGAGCUUAUAACCUAUACAGCAGCCAGCCACCAGGGGGAGCUCUAUUUGCUUUGGCUUUUAUACCGUCUAUGGUCGAAAUUGACAGAGAAAAUUAGAUAUUAAGUCUUAAAACGCCAAAACAGA
Mugil cephalus (flathead mullet) is the source of this 2172-nucleotide long non-coding RNA. RefSeq lists it as uncharacterized. The record is from RefSeq and is a predicted model, not a curated record. The transcript is spliced from 2 exons. Lineage: Eukaryota; Metazoa; Chordata; Actinopteri; Mugiliformes; Mugilidae.